CUGGAAGUUAAAAGUCGUAACAAGGUUUCCGUAGGUGAACCUGCGGAAGGAUCAUUACCGAGUGCGGGCCCCUCGGGGCCCAACCUCCCACCCGUGUUGCCCGAACCUAUGUUGCCUCGGCGGGCCCCGCGCCCGCCGACGGCCCCCCUGAACGCUGUCUGAAGUUGCAGUCUGAGACCUAUAACGAAAUUAGUUAAAACUUUCAACAACGGAUCUCUUGGUUCCGGCAUCGAUGAAGAACGCAGCGAAAUGCGAUAACUAAUGUGAAUUGCAGAAUUCAGUGAAUCAUCGAGUCUUUGAACGCACAUUGCGCCCUCUGGUAUUCCGGAGGGCAUGCCUGUCCGAGCGUCAUUGCUGCCCUCAAGCCCGGCUUGUGUGUUGGGCCCCGUCCCCCCCGCCGGGGGGACGGGCCCGAAAGGCAGCGGCGGCACCGCGUCCGGUCCUCGAGCGUAUGGGGCUUCGUCACCCGCUCUAGUAGGCCCGGCCGGCGCCAGCCGACCCCCAACCUUUAAUUAUCUCAGGUUGACCUCGGAUCA
Molecule: ribosomal RNA, 536 nt
Filed under: Penicillium griseofulvum
Lineage: Eukaryota; Fungi; Ascomycota; Eurotiomycetes; Eurotiales; Aspergillaceae
Description: eukaryotic LSU rRNA
Rfam family: 5.8S ribosomal RNA (bases 198-351)
Source: RNAcentral